Molecule: long non-coding RNA, 321 nt
Organism: Vidua macroura (Pin-tailed whydah)
Lineage: Eukaryota; Metazoa; Chordata; Aves; Passeriformes; Viduidae
Exons: 3
Source: RefSeq, a predicted model, not a curated record
GGAACGCUGUAUUUUACAUUUGUUAAUAGAUGGCAUGCAAGGAAUUAUUCUCCAUGGAACUGAGAUUCUCUUGGCAGCUUGCCCAGGCCCUAGAUCUCUGAUUGUGUCCAAUAUGGAACUUCUUGAAGUAGGGCAACCCUAAAUCAAAAAAAAAAAAACAACUUUGUAUUUACACAACAAGAUCUCAGUCUUGAAAUCCAUUCAGGUGUGAGGGGUUGAUUUUGUCUGGAUGCCAGGUGUCAACCAAGCUACUCUAUCACUUCCCCUUCUCCUAUGGACAGGAGAGAGAAAAUAAGAUAGAAAACAACUCAAAAAAAAAAA